This 70-nucleotide transfer RNA is filed under the name Spirula spirula. RNAcentral describes it as "tRNA-Val". Lineage: Eukaryota; Metazoa; Mollusca; Cephalopoda; Spirulida; Spirulidae. The record is from RNAcentral.
UCAAAACUUAACAUAAAAAAUGUGUUUCACUUACAUUGAAAAAAUAAUUAAUUAUAUAAUUAGUUUUGAA